GACGAACGCUGGCGGCGUGCUUAACACAUGCAAGUCGAACGGUGAAGGGACUGGUUUUUGCUGGUUCUGGAUGAGUGGCGAACGGGUGAGUAACACGUGAGUAACCUGCCCCCUUCUUCUGGAUAACCGCAUGAAAGUGUGGCUAAUACGGGAUAUUCUGCGCCUGCUGCAUGGUGGGUGUGGGAAAGAUAUUGUUUCGGUGGGGGAUGGGCUCGCGGCCUAUCAGCUUGUUGGUGGGGUGAUGGCCUACCAAGGCGGUGACGGGUAGCCGGCCUGAGAGGGUGGACGGUCACACGGGGACUGAGACACGGCCCAGACUCCUACGGGAGGCAGCAGUGGGGAAUAUUGCACAAUGGGCGCAAGCCUGAUGCAGCGACGCCGCGUGAGGGAUGGAGGCCUUCGGGUUGUAAACCUCUUUCGCCAGUGAAGCAGGCCUGUCCCUUUUGUGGGUGGGUUGACGGUAGCUGGAUAAGAAGCGCCGGCUAACUACGUG
This 493-nucleotide ribosomal RNA is filed under the name uncultured bacterium. RNAcentral's name for it is "partial 16S ribosomal RNA". It matches the Rfam family "Bacterial small subunit ribosomal RNA", at positions 28 to 507 of the family's 1533-position model. The record is from RNAcentral.